Transfer RNA from Loxodonta africana (African savanna elephant), 61 nucleotides. It matches the Rfam family "tRNA", at positions 7 to 64 of the family's 71-position model. Rfam says of the family: Transfer RNA (tRNA) molecules are approximately 80 nucleotides in length. Lineage: Eukaryota; Metazoa; Chordata; Mammalia; Proboscidea; Elephantidae. The record is from Rfam.
GUAGCACAAACAGUUAAUGUGUUUGGCUGCUAACCAAAAGGUUGGAGGUUCAAGUCCACCC